CAACAGCAGCAGCCGCAAGCCACCACCCUCACUGCCCCUCAGCCACCACAGUCUGUGCACUUGCCGGGUAAACCCCAGACAUUGGCUGUCAAACGCAAGGCUGACUCUGAGGAGGAGAGAGAUGAUGUCUCCACAUUGGGUUCAAUGCUUCCUGCCAAGGCAUCUCCAGUAGCAGAAAGCCCAAAAGUCAUGGACGAGAAGAGCAGUCUUGGAGAAAAAGCUGAAUCAGUGGCUAAUGUGAAUGCUAAUACUCCAAACAGUGAACUAGUAGCCUUGACCCCCGCC
Molecule: long non-coding RNA, 285 nt
Filed under: Homo sapiens (human)
Lineage: Eukaryota; Metazoa; Chordata; Mammalia; Primates; Hominidae
Description: non-protein coding lnc-OR6C70-3:1
Source: RNAcentral